AGUGAACGCUGGCGGCAGGCCUAACACAUGCAAGUCGAGCGGCAGCGCGUCCGACCACCCUCGGGUGGUCGGAUGGCGGCGAGCGGCGGACGGGUGAGGAAUGCAUCGGAAUCUGCCUCGUUGUGGGGGAUAACGUAGGGAAACUUACGCUAAUACCGCAUACGUCCUACGGGAGAAAGGGGGGGAUCUUCGGACCUCUCGCUAAUAGAUGAGCCUAGGCCGGAUUAGCUAGUUGGUAGGGUAAAGGCCUACCAAGGCGACGAUCUGUAGCUGGUCUGAGAGGAUGGCCAGCCACACUGGAACUGAGACACGGUCCAGACUCCUACGGGAGGCAGCAGUGGGGAAUAUUGGACAAUGGGGGCAACCCUGAUCCAGCCAUGCCGCGUGUGAAGAAGGCCUCGGUUGUAAGANACUUAAGUACGAGGAGGAAGGUUUUAGGUUUUAAGUUAACU
Molecule: ribosomal RNA, 452 nt
Filed under: uncultured bacterium
Lineage: Bacteria
Description: bacterial SSU rRNA
Rfam family: Bacterial small subunit ribosomal RNA
Source: RNAcentral